Molecule: ribosomal RNA, 696 nt
Filed under: Triticum aestivum (bread wheat)
Lineage: Eukaryota; Viridiplantae; Streptophyta; Magnoliopsida; Poales; Poaceae
Description: partial small subunit ribosomal RNA
Source: RNAcentral
AUGCCCUACAUACCAGCAGACAUCACAAACCUAAAGGCAAAGUAUCAUAGAGAGAGCAGGUUGGCUGACAUAGAAGACACGAUAGCCUACUUCGAAGAGAAAGCAAAAGAAGAUGUUGAUUUCUUCUACAGGAUAAGAUUGGAUGAUGAGGACCGUGUCAGAAACAUGUAUUGGGUGGAUGGUGCUGCAAGAAGAGCCUACAAACAUUUCCGUAAUUACUUUUACUUCGACGCGACAUAUCUCACUAAUAUGUACAAGAUGCCCUGCGCUCUAUUCAUAGGAAUAAAUAGCCACAAUCAGUCAUUGCAGUUCGGUUGCGGACUCAUUCGGAACAAAGAUACGGAUGGUUACACUUGGCUGUUCAAAAUCUUCUUGAAGUGCAUGGGUGGACUUGCUCCGAUGAACAUAAUAAUAGACCAGGAUUUUAGCAUGCUUGCAGGCAUAGAGCCGUUGGCAGUGCACAUGCACUGCAGGUGACAUACUAUUAAGAAGGCUGAGGAGAUGCUAGGACCAUUCUUUGCUGACCGUCCAGAGCUACACAAGGCAUUCGAGUUGUGCGUGGACCACAGCUUGACGGUGGAGGAGUUUGAACGGAGCUGGACGACUAUGAUUGAAACAUACCAAGUCCAAGACAACGAGACACUUACUAGCCUGUGGGAGAAGCGAAUGUAUUGGGUGCCGGCCUACUUCAUGUAG